ACCAAAAGCACAAAACAACACCACUCUACAAUAUUUAAGUACAGCAUUCUAAUUGAGUAGUUGCUGCAUUCUCUCCGUCUCCCCCACUCGAAUAGAAAUCGUACAAAAAGACACCUGGAUUCGGUGGCUCAACCCAAUGACGUCCCAAUGCGUAUUAGUUUGCAUGAAACAAGAAGAACCAUAAAGAAACCCAAAACAAAGAGAAAGGAGAGACUUUUAAAGCUAUAAUACCACAGAAGAGUAAGUUGGACGCUUGUUUUAUUGUUUGGAAUUAUUCGCGAAUCAAUCCGAUUGACCACCCGUGAUAUUAAAUGCCUCAUCAGCUCUAAUCCAAUAGAAUAAACUGACCAAUAAUAAUGGAUAUGGUUUGCUGCAUCUCCCACAACCGUCAGCAACGCCUUCCAGACUAAACAUCCAAUUAUUACGUCAGACUGCGUUCACCCAUGUCACCAAGUCAAAAGGGCCCACG
This 469-nucleotide long non-coding RNA is filed under the name Elaeis guineensis (African oil palm). RNAcentral's name for it is "long non-coding RNA (EGUI_LNC001376)". The record is from RNAcentral. Lineage: Eukaryota; Viridiplantae; Streptophyta; Magnoliopsida; Arecales; Arecaceae.